AAAAAGUGCUUAUAUGCUAUUUUAUAUGAAUGUUCAAUAAGUUUGUUCUUAUAACUUAGCAUAAGUUACUAACUUAGCAUAAGUGAUUAAAGUAGUUGAAGCCUUAGGCUGAGGUCAAGCUGACCUGAGAGGAAUGCUGAAGAAGCAGCUACAAAACCAGUUGAGACUACCUGUUAUCACUGAAGAUAAAAAAGAAUGCAAGGAGUAGGACUGACUGUCUCCCAGAGCAAAUCCAGCACCCGGCAACGGACUGUCCACUCAGCAACAGAACUGUCCAAUGGAAAAGAGCAGAGACCCCUACUCAAAUUAGGGAUUGGACUUUGGACAUGGGCAAGGGCAGUGUUACCAACUGUAAAGGUUUGGCAACCGCGGCAGGACUCUAGGCAACCAUCGUUGGGGCCUCUCGCCUCCAAACAUCCACUUGGCACCAAUGGGUGAGUUCACCUGGGAUCUUUGGCAGCGAGGGGCACCGAAGGGUGAGUCUUAAAUUCCCACAUUCUAAAUUCCAAAUUUAGGUUUCUGGUUAAAGUGCACUUGGAAUGGGUGUGUGGCCUGAUCAGCAUAAAGUGCAGCCCAGGACUGGUUAGAGUGCACUUGGAAAGGGUGCGUGGCCUGAUCAGCAUAAAGCGCAGCCCAAGAAAAUAUAGGUAGAGUGCACUUGGAAAGGGUGCGUGACCUGAUCAGCAUAAAGCGCAGCCCAAGGAGAAUAUAAAAUGGGUAAUUCUUUGGGAGUGGAAAACGGGACGCCCUUGUCCGAAGUGCUGGGAAAUUGGAGGAGGAUUGAUGGUACCAAGGGGCUAGGGAAAAAGAAUCUGGUACAGCUGUGUCAGAAGGACUGGCCGUUUUUAACCAACGGUGGUAAUUCUGCGGAGCAAUGGCCAGGCUUAGGGACUUUUAAUUUACAAGAAUUAACCUUUUUACGCCAACAAUUGAAAAAUAGGUUUCCUAAACAGAUGGAUUAUUGGUAUGUAUGGGACAACUGGGCUUAUGCGCGUGCGAAAGGACGUCCUCUUUCCUCCUGCUUUUCUUAUUCAUCUCAGGGGUCUCCAGCCCCGCUCUGUGCUAUGCCUGCUUCUGCCCCUCUUCCGGCUUACCCUCGGCUUUCUGACUUAUGCCCGUCACUUCCUUGCUUGUCAAUUGGCCGUGCGUUCUGUCCAGGUAACACGCCUCACAGGGGAGGACUCGGGUAGCCCUGUGAGUGAGAAUAUUUAAGAGAAGAGACCAGGAGAGCUGGGGGGCUAGUUAAAAAGCCCACCCUCCUUGUUAAAUUAGUAGUGGGAUAAAGCUGUUGCUCAUGGAAGGGACAGUUCAGAGAGAAAAACAGGAUCAGGCCCAAGCGGGCAGGCAACAGAUAGAAAGAUUGGAAAACAGGUUGGAAACUUGGAGGGCAUAGUGGAAAAGGAGGAGUAAAUAAUUACAGGAAUGGGAAACGUAAAUCCCGGAAUAAUACUUGGAAUGGUAAAAUCUAAGUUGAUUGGAUGUCGUUUUGGAAGAUAAGGAAGUGAUUUAAGAAAGGAAAGUGAGAAGUUAACUCUGUAGUUGCUGGAAAGAAUUAAGCAGUUGAACUUUGUGAAAUACUAGAAAAAAAAAAGAACUCUUGGUUUCUUUGCAGCCAUUUUUAAGGAAAAUGGGCCCUUUUCCAAAGGAAUGCAAUUAUACAGUGCUACUUAAUUAAUAUCUUAUCAGGCUCCAAGGGGCUACAAUAGGCGGUGUCUUCCUUUUCAGGUCGCUGUGUGUUUGACAGCAGGAGUUAAAAAUAAAAGGCAAUCAAAAGUCUGGUAAAGUUUAUUGUGCCCUUUUUAAAGUAAGAAUCUUUAAGCUGUGGAUCUAGAAGCAAGCCGGAAAGCAUUUGUUUUAAUGUAAAUUACCUAAAUAAUAAGGUAGAAGCCACUGAAACCUGGGCUGCCUAUGAAACAAAUACAAAAAAAUAUGUGUAAUUCCUCUGUUGUGCCUGCAAUUAACAAGAGUAUUUGUAUAAAAAGGAGAUAUUUUAAGCAAUGACUGACUGCCCAAAAGGGGUAAAUCUAUGUUCUUUUUGUCUUUCAGAAAAUCAGAGAAAACUGAUGCCAGCUGAAAAGCAAUUCAACAUCCUUUGAAUUUACUGGCACAAUAGAAAUUAUGUUCUGUGUUCUAUGUGUCCUGUCUUGUGGUGUUUGUCUUGUAGCCAGAAUUGCUGUGUUUAAUUUUUCAUAGGACAGUUUAGUUUAAAACUAAAUACAAGGGUUAAAUCAAAAUGCAGAUACUUGUUUUAUUCAACUUAGAAUACAAAGUGUUUGGAUAAUAUCAGGAAAAUGUGAUAUACUAAAGUUUAAUACAUUUGCUUAAGUAAAAAAAAAAAAAUUUCAUUGUGCAGAUCUUUUAAUUAAAAAAAAAUUGUUGUUAAAAUUCGCACACCAACUGUCAUGGAAGCAAGGACAUGAAAGGUUAACCCACUCCCUAUAUUAUACAUGGGAUCCUUCUGGCUACCUCAAAUUUCUAGCCAGAGGACUGGGGAGGGAGGAAAGCUAUUGGACACCAGAGGUUGUACCAAGUGGACUCCUCAAAAGUGGGUGUGCUUGUCCUGGCUUGUUGCUCCAAAGCUCCGCAAUAAAGUCAUUUUCCUAGAAGGGUGUAUGUGGCAUACAUUAAACAAUAAGACUAAAGUGCUGUAUAAUGGGCAAUGUAUAUGUGUUCAUUUUUAAACAAAGGUGUGUGAGUGGAAAGUGAAAGUUUCCUUUGCAGGCUAAUAGAAGCCAAGAAGGGGAGAAGAAAAAGAAUGGAGGACGAGGUAAUUCAACCCUGUAGCUGGCAGGCUUGGUCCAAAGAUAAGAUGCUGGCCUGCCCAAGGACACUACUCACAGCUAGAAUUUGGCUGACAGCCAAGAAAGAGGGAGGCUUGAAUGUGCCCAAGCAUCUGUGAGAUCUGCAAAACACUUCCAGACAUAAAAGAAAUGUGUUAGAUCUCUGUAUUUACAGGUGAAGGAAGUCCUGCUCCAAAGAUCCUGAGGAAACCUGCCAUUUGUUAAAACCAGGUGACUGGGUCUACAUAAAGGUCCAUCAACGAAAGACUACUCUGGCCCCAUGCUGGAAAGGCCCUUAUUAAGUCCUGCUAACUACCAACACCGCUGUAAAGUGCCAAGGACUGACUGCCUGGACCCAUGCUUCUUACUGCAAAAAGACCCCUCCACCUUGAAAUGACUUCACUUUGACUACUGAUCAGCCUGUCCCUCCUUCUGGGUUUUUUCUUUCCUCCUUUUGGACAGCAGGGGAAAGGACAAAGUAAAGUGCUAGUAACCUCUCCCUUGUCCACUGACAGAGCUAACCUGCAUUCAGUAUUUGCUAAAGAAACCAAAGCACUACAGGGUGACGUGCUAGUAACCUCUCCCCUGUAUAAUGCAAAACCAUGACUGCUCUAAGAGAGAAGAAGGAACGCCUGCUCUGCUGAAACCACCAAGAUCCAAGGAUUCCUGACUGCAAAAGACAUUGAAAAUUGGCCUUGGUGGGAAAGACGGAGCAUUGUACAUUGGCAGGGAGGGAGUUGCGAGAUGUAUUCUUGGGAAUGUGGAGUGAAGUGGUGAGGUGGGUUUAUUCCAGGGGCUGGAAUCUGUGCUUGUGGGCAAGUACCAUCAGAAUACACUGUCCUCCCUAAUUGUUUUCCGGAUGAUGAAUACCAAAGAUGCCUUACAGCCACAAACAUUACUUCCAUCAUCUGCCACCAUUCCUUUGCACGUAAAGGUUCCUGGAUCCAUCAUAGUUACGUUAAGUUGGCGCUGGGACCUCCACCUAACCCUGACAAGCCAUCGGACGAGCCACUUCACAAAUAAACGCCACUACCGACCGAUGGACUGAGCUUUCCAGUUAUUGGAACCUUUACAGCCCACCAGGACUUCUUGUGUUGCUGUUUAUUGGACUUACAUUGGUGGUGGUGUUUUUUUGUAUGGUAUAGAGGAGGAUGCCGACAUUGGUAUGGUUUGCCUAGGGUGUUCCAUUCUGGGGAUAGUACCACUACUAACAGGGCCAGCCAUGACAUGCAUAGGCCAUUACACUGUGAGACUUCAAAUGGUACUUAAAAAGGUUGCCUUGGAGUUAGAAGACUUGAUUAGUGGUUUGGGAUAAGCGGUAAAAACAUUAAAUAAGGAAGUGCAACAACUCAGAACGUAUUCCCUCCAAAACAGGUUGGCCUUAGACUACCUGUUAGCAUCCCAGGGAGGGGUCUGCGCUCUCAUUGGAUCCUGUUGUUAUGUGUGUGUAAAUGACAGUAGCUAUGAAGUCUAUGAGGAAGUGGUACGGGCAGAGGCCCAUGCACGAGUCGGAGCACAACGAGUCGGAGUACCUACACCGUCCCUGAAAGCGAUUGGUUGCAAACUCUCUUUUUGGGGUGGGGUUUAUCAUCAUGGCUUAGUGGUUUGUUCAGUUUAUUACUUAAGAUUUUCCUUCCUGUAUUGAUUGUACUAAUGACAUUAUGUUGUGCAGUGUCGUAUAUUAGGAAGCUUUUGCAAAAUAUGUUAAUUCAUUCUUUUCAAGGCUAUCGCAAAGUGCUCAUGCAAAGUAAAUUGUAGAAUAAGUAGGCAGGGAUGCCUACAAAAUCAAAGGGGGACUGUUAUAAAAAAGCGCUUAUAUGCUAUUUUAUAUGAAUGUUCAAUAAGUUUGUUCUUAUAACUUAGCAUAAGUUACUAAUUUAGCAUAAGUGAUUAAAGUAGUUGAAGCCUUAGGCUGAGGUCAAGCUGACCUGAGAGGAAUGCUGAAGAACCAGCUACAAAACCAGUUUAGACUGCCCGUUAUCACUGAAGAUAAAAAAGAAUGCAAGGAGUAGGACUGACUGUCUCCAGGAUCAAAUCCAGCACCCGGCAACGGACUGUCCACUCAGCAACAGAACUGUCCAAUGGAAAAGAGCAGAAACCCCUACUCAAAUUAGGGGAUUGGACUUUAGACAUGAGCAAGGGCGGUGUUACCAACUGUAAAGGGUAUAAUUGCUUGCAAUUUCUGAGGGGCAGGGUCCCUCUCCUGAGGCACCCAGCUCGAGCUGUAUUUCUGUUAACUAAUGAAAGACGCAUGUAUAGAUUAGACUCAGAAUUUAGAAGUUCGUGGGAUCCUAGAGUCAAAUCAAGCACCUAAAUUGGUGAGAGCAAGGGCUAAUUGUUUUUUCCCCUAACAGUUGUUAAAGGUCUCAAAGUAGAUUCCUGGUUCUUUGGUGGUUCUAGUGGAGGUGUCCUUGUAACUCCCACUAUGGCAUUGUCAGAAGGGCUGCACAUGCCUGAUUGGGGGCGGUGAAAAAACAUAUUACAAAACUUAGCUUUACCAUUUUUCUCACCCACACCUAUGUAUUUACUUAAAAUGCAAGACCUCAUAAAAUAACCAAACCAAUAAGCAAAAUAUAUUUACUGGGCUUCAUCCAUCCAUCAGUCACUGAUACUGGGGAAUUUUUCUUUUCAGUUGUCUCUUUCCUUUUAAGCUUGUUUACCCUCUGGUCUAAGGAUGUCAUGUUUUGACCGUACUGUGAAGCAGGCAUUAUUAUUAUAAAACACAUGAAACUGUCUAGUAAACUUAAAAAUAGAAUAUUCAUUAGGAUGAUUUUCUGUUUAAAAAGUCAUAGCUUUAAAACAAAAUAAUUCAUUUCAGGCUGUACAACAAACACAGGUUUUGAGUUUAUUUCUACCACUUUAAAAUACAUCUCAUUUUGCAGAAUAAAAACCAAACUGCUUUUAAAAAUCCACUUUUAAAAUCCAGUUUAAAACACAUUUUGCACAGUAAAAGGCCACCACACACAUCGGGCUGUCUCACAAGCAGUUGGGUUUCGGGUUCAGGUUCCGGCGUAUCCAUCAACGGCUGGGCCAAAGGGCUCCCCUCGGCCGCUCCCUCCUCCUCCUCAGAACUGUCACUGAAGUAGCGCUUUCUCUGCAGAUGUUCGAAGAUCCUCUGGGGUAAAACAAAGUCCAAAGUUCUCACGGGGGUGGUGAAGGAGUCCAUGUUUCCACGAUUUCUAAAACACAUGUUCUUCGUAAAAUAUGGCCUCUUCUGCCUGGCGCUGGGACUUAUGGGAUGAUAGUGCUGAGCUCUGACUGGCAGAGGGCGCUGGGAGGAGUUCUUAGAGAGGUCACACAACCGUCUUCUGGGCGGUUCACCCUGUCCCAGAACCAGCCCUAUUUUGGUCAAAUCUGCUCUAGGGGUGGUCCUAUGUGGCUGAAACCCACUGCGAUUGGUAGAGGGUGAUAGGAGGAGUUCUUAGAGGGGUCACACAAACCACUUCCAGAUGGGUCACCCUGCCCCCCCAAACUCCCCCCAAUUGGUCAAGUCUCUUCUCGGGGUGGUCCCUAGUGGCUGAAACCCCUCCUGAUUGGUAGAGGGUGAUGGGAGGAGUUCUUAGAGGAGUCACACAACCCAAUUCCAGACAGGUCACCCUGCCCCAUAACUCACCCUGAUUGGUAAAAUCUCCUCUCGGGGUGGUCCUAUCAGGACAUAUCCCAUCCUGAUUGGUAGAGGGAAGUGGAAGGAGUUCUUAGAGGGGUCACAUGAUACACCUUGCUUCCGGUCAUGUGGUCGCCUUGACCCUGGAAGUAAUACCCCCUGGGGCGGGGCUUCUGGUGACAGGUGAGCAGGGCUUAAGGGGUAAAGGGGCAGGGUUUAAGGGGUCAAGGGGCAGGGUUAGGGUUUGAUUGACUGUAGGUCACUUAUACAACUCAAGUUUGUUUACAUUUACAGGAGAUAAUGCUGCCUUCUUCUUCCUUUACACUGUCACCAGAAAGUGAGAACAGGCAUUUGCAUGGCACUUUUGUAGCUAGCAUUUCAAGGUAUUUAAGUGCCAGAUAUGCGAAACAUUUGUAUGCCCCUUCAUGCUUCGGCCACCAUUCCGGAGGACAUGCUUUCAUGCUGGUGACGCUCGUUAAAAAAAUAAUGUGUGAAUUAAAUUUGUGACUGAAUUACUUGGGGGAAAAUUGUAUGUCCCCUGCUCUGUUUUACCAGUAUUUUGCCAUAUAUUUCAUAUUAUAGCAGUCUCGGAUUAUGACCCAGCACAUGUUGUUCAUUUUAAGAACAUUUUCACUGCAGAUCUGACAAAACACAAAGAAGGUACCAAUGAGAGAUUUCUAAAGAUUGCUGUAGCACUCGACCCAAGGUUUAAGAAUCUGAAGUGCCCUCCAAAAUCUGAGAGGAAUGAGGGUGGAGCAUGCUUUCAGAAGUCUUAAAAGAGCAACACUCCAAUGCAGAAACUACAGAACCAGAACCACCAAAAAGGAAAAUCAGCUGUUUGCUGGAGGUAUCUGACUCAGAUAAUGAAAAUGAACAUGCGUCGGUCCUCACUGCUUUGGAUCGUUAUCGAGCAGAACCCGUCAUCAGAAUGGACACAUGUCCUCUAGAUUGGUGGUUGAAGCAUGAAGGGACAUACGAAUCUUUAGUGCAUCUGGCACAUAAAUAUUUUGCAACACCAUCUACAACAGUGCCAUGUGAACACCUUCUUCUCACUUUCAGGUGACGUAAAUAAGACACGGGCAGCAUUAUCUCCUGCACAUGUAAACAAACUUGUUUGUCUGAGCGAUUGGCUGAACAAGAAGUAGAACUGAGCGGACUUGCAGGCUCUAAAAUUGUACAUUGUUUUAUUUUUGAAUGCAGGUUUUUUGUACUUCUCCAUUUGUAAUAAUUCUCCAUUUGUAAGUUCAACUUUCAUGAUAAAGAGAUUGCACUACAGUACUUGUCUUAGGUGAAUUGAAAAAUACUAUUUCUUUUGUUGUUGUUGUUUUUUACAGUGAAAAUUCGUGUAAUAAAAAUAAAUAUCAAUUGAGAACUGUACACUUUGUAUUCUGUGUUGUAAUUGAAAUCAAUAUCUUUGAAAAUGUAGAAACCAUCCAAAAUAUUUAAAUAAAUGGUAUUCUGUUAUUGUUUAA
This is a non-coding RNA of Caretta caretta (loggerhead turtle), 7856 nucleotides long. Lineage: Eukaryota; Metazoa; Chordata; Testudines; Cheloniidae. The record is from RefSeq and is a predicted model, not a curated record.